This 495-nucleotide ribosomal RNA is filed under the name uncultured bacterium. Its description in RNAcentral is "partial 16S ribosomal RNA". It matches the Rfam family "Bacterial small subunit ribosomal RNA", at positions 28 to 507 of the family's 1533-position model. The record is from RNAcentral.
GAUGAACGCUGGCGGCGUGCCUAAUACAUGCAAGUAGAACGCUGAAGGAGGAGCUUGCUCUUCUGGAUGAGUUGCGAACGGGUGAGUAACGCGUAGGUAACCUGCCUGGUAGCGGGGGAUAACUAUUGGAAACGAUAGCUAAUACCGCAUGACAACAGUUAUUGCAUGAUAACUGUUUAAAAGGGGCAACUGCUCCACUACCAGAUGGACCUGCGUUGCAUUAGCUAGUUGGUGAGGUAACGGCUCACCAAGGCGACGAUACAUAGCCGACCUGAGAGGGUGAUCAGCCACCCUGGGACUGAGACACGGCCCAGACUCCUACAGGAGGCAGCAGUAGGGAAUCUGCGGCAAUGGGCGGAAGUCUGACCGAGCAACGCCGCGUGAGUGAAGAAGGUUUUCGGGUCGGAAAGCUCUGUUGUAAGGGAAGAACGAGUUUGAGAGUGGAAAGUUCACACUGUGACGGUAUCUUACCAGAAAGGGACGGCUAACUACGUG